AGGAGGAAGCAGCGGAAGCCACUGUCCCGCAGUCUCGGGGCCGCUUCCGGCCCCAGUGGGGCUGCGAACCCCGGAAACCCCCGCGCUGCCCGCCCCGCUCCCGGCGGCUGCGGGGGGACGCGGAGGGGAGACGGAGCCCCGGAUCAGCCCGACCUCGACCUCGCCCCGAGGGUCGCGGCUGCCUGCGCCCGCGCUGCGCCCCCUCUCGGGGAGGUUGCUGCCAUCCUCGCCCAUUUCUCCGAGGGAAGCGCUCGGGGCAGGGUAGGGAAAUCCUGCCUGGGGCUUCACGGUGGUAAAGCGGCAAAGGCUGGAUCUAAAGUCGGACAGUAAAGCCCCAAAGCCAGUGAUCUUCACGUAAUCGCCAAGGAGGCAAAGGUAGGACCGUCGCUCCAGCCACCAAGUCGAGCAGCACGAGGCUUAACCGCGAGGGUGCAGAGUCCGGAAACCUCACUGCCGUCCCGGCUCCGAGCUGCCUUUAAAACACCGCCACCUACAGUACCCGGGAUCGAACUCAGGACCUUGAGCUUGCGAGGCAGGCGCAGUGCCACUGAGCUACAUCCCCGGCCCGUGUCGUUCCAUUUAUUGCCAGGAGCACGGAACUGGACUGAAGUACAAGAUUCCUCGUCUAGAGGAGGAGACACAUUUCACACAGAAAUCACUGAGGCCGUCUCCAAAGAACCCCGGAGGGGAGAAGACACUUCUGCCCAGCGGCGUCCCACUGGCCUACAGGUACCACUGUCCCUGAGCAGGUCCAGAGGGAAGGGAGGAGCCCAGAGCCGCCUCGCGCUGCUUGCUCACUUUUUUCUGCGCUGCUUCAAGCUGCCUUCCAAGCCUCACGGCUCUACGCAGACCCGGGGCUCCUGGCAGCUGAUGACCAUCACAUUCUGCCUCUCCUCCUCGGGAUUCCUGAGCGUCUUCCUGCUCUCAUUCCAGGCUUCAUCCCUGCCCUGAAAGCAGCAGCUCCUCUUCUCCCUUGAGUCCAACUUCUCCGCCUGUGUCCUACGUGCUGCAUCAGCCCGGGGAUCCCGAGACUUAGUUUCCCCUAUUGUCCCACCUCUCUUGAGACAUCAGUGUUUUUGCAUUCUCUCUCUGCCAGUGGACAUAAGUGUUUGGAACUGAACACGCAACAUUUUCCCACCUCCCUGCCACCAUCCUUCUCUCUCUUUUCCUCCACUGUCGCACUGUGCUCCGGAGAGGCAGCGGUGCCUUUCUGGUGUGUCCUCUGCUCCCAGGCUCUCCAGGACCGUUUGUCUAAUGCCACCAAGGUGACCACUCUUCAGGCAUUUUCUACCUGCCAGUUCAGCAUCCUCUGAGACAUGAGUUCAUUCCUUCAUCAUACAGCCACGUGAAUGAUGAUCAUUUUCGUUUUACAGCUAGGAAGACGGAGCCUGGGAGGGUGCAGUAAACCACUCAGUCACCCUAGUGACCUAAAACCUUCUGGCCACUACUCUGCAGCCUCUCAUCUGUCCUACUGUUCCCUAUAUCCCUGGUUUAAGGGAGGCACUAGAUAAACAUGUGUUGAUUGAAUGAGUGCUCGAACACUUUAAUGACUCUUUGCCAG
RNAcentral lists this long non-coding RNA (1561 nucleotides) under Heterocephalus glaber (naked mole-rat). Its description in RNAcentral is "lncRNA (ENSHGLG00100042293.1)". Lineage: Eukaryota; Metazoa; Chordata; Mammalia; Rodentia; Bathyergidae. The record is from RNAcentral.